This 253-nucleotide ribosomal RNA is filed under the name uncultured archaeon. RNAcentral's name for it is "partial 16S ribosomal RNA". It matches the Rfam family "Archaeal small subunit ribosomal RNA", at positions 474 to 727 of the family's 1478-position model. The record is from RNAcentral.
CCCCGGCGCCACGAGUGGUAAUCACUUUUAUUGGGCCUAAAGCGUCCGUAGUCGAUAAAGUAAAUCUUUUGUCAAAUCCUUGUGCUUAACGCAGGGGCAGCAAGAGACACUACUUUGUUUGGGAUCGGGAGGAGUCAGGGGUAUUCCUUGGGUAGCGGUAAAAUGCGAUAAUCCUUGGAAGACCACCAAUGGCAAAGGCAUCUGACUAGAACGAAUCCGACGAUCAGGGACGAAAGCUAGGGGAGCAAAAGGG